Dermochelys coriacea (leatherback sea turtle) is the source of this 4749-nucleotide long non-coding RNA. RefSeq lists it as uncharacterized. The record is from RefSeq and is a predicted model, not a curated record. Lineage: Eukaryota; Metazoa; Chordata; Testudines; Dermochelyidae. The transcript has 3 exons.
UCAAAGGUCUAUACACUGUAAUUAAACAGCCCAAGACCUGCAAACCUGAGUCAGCUGGGACUGUCAGCCACAGGUUUUAAUUGCAGUGUAGACAUACCCUAAAUGGCUUAGCCCUGGCUACCUAAGAGAACCAUCUCUUUCCACAUCUUUUUUCAUGGUAGCUGAGAUCUGCCAUGCUGGGAGUGGCUGAUGGCAGGAAGUUCUCAACAAAGCUUUAAAAUUCACUUCCCUCCUUGUUCCACCACAGCCAAGUUUAGUGACCUUAAGGACGCACAGUAACGCUCCCCUGUUCUCCCAGGCAUUUCCAAAUCAGAGGGCUGAUUUGGGGGUGGGUGAUGGGGAGGCUGGACUGGAGGAUGUUGUCUCUUUUUGUACAUCAUAGGACUUGCACUCUGUUUUUGUGCAGCCAGUUUUAAUUUUAUUAAAAACACUGUUUGCAUACAUUUGGUAAUGUACCUGUGCACCACAGCACAGUCAAUUCAAAUACUAGUCAUUUUACUUUCUAGAAUUCUAGGUUUACUUAGGUCCAACUUUAAGAGCGUUACCCUUCAGCCAGCUAUGGAAUCACCACCAUUACAACAUUCAUGAAUUUGCAUUUUUCUUAUUUGUUUAUGAAUUCUUAUAUGAAUCAAGUCCUAAAAUCAAUAUGCACUCAAAACUCCCUUUCACUUAAUGUCAGUUUCAGCACAGAAAACUACAGGAUCCAUACUCAGGAUUACCACUACAUAGGGUAAAACCCCCAGAAAAUAUGACUGCAAGAACAGAAAGGACUUUUUAAAAAUCCAGUUAAAAGUGUGUUUACAGCUGUAUAACAGCAUGUAAAAAUUAUGAUCAGAAUUUUCAAAUGCAGAUGCUGGACAUUCAGUCCUAAUUUUUUUAUAGGCAUCUAAUAUGAAUAUCCUGACUGUGGGAAGUGCUGAGUAUCUGUAACCCUUACGAAAGUUCGGCACCUCUGAAAAACAGGUCAUUUAUAUUUAGAUGCCAAACUUUAGCCAUCCGCUUUUGAAAAUGUUGGCCUAUGUUUUUACUUACCAGGCAUUUAUCAGCAAAACACACACACAAAAUAAGCACAAUUAUGACUGCUACAAUUCCAAAUGAAAGUCCUAGUUUUGUGGUUCUAAAACAGAGAGAGGAGAACAAAGUUAAACAGAAGUGUUAUGCAUAUUGUCAUAGUCAAAUUGCAACUAACCAAGCAACAGUCACUAAUGCAGUUUCCCAUAACUAAAAUAAAUAUCAUUGCUGUUCUUUUGGCAUUACAUGAUCAUGAGAAAGGGCCUUCCAUGGACGUUUAUUGCCCUCUCUUGGCAAAGAUUCACUUUCAGGUAUUCCACUCUCUCAUUGAAAUCAUGUGCUGUUACCCCAUGGAUAAACCACACCACCAUCAUUAGUGUCACAGCAGGGAAAAACAGACCUGGCAGAAAAUUUAAAAUACCAGGGAAAGUCAGCUGUCUCCGAGCUGUGACAAAGAGCCAUUUAACAAACCUUCUCUGACCUUAGAAUCAGAUUAAGCAACUAUAUUAAUAAUGGUAUCCAUGAUCGGAUAGGAAUACUAGAGCUAAUAUUACUAACCUAAUUCAUAAUCCUAACAUUAUUACAAGAGAUAUUUGUGGUGAGAGUUUCCUUACUGCUCCACAGCCAAUUACACGUGUCUUGCCCUUCUCUCCCAUGAUCCAAAUUCUCACCAAAUCUGGUCUUCCUCCUCCAAGCAAAUCUGAAGGUGUCUCCAUCCUGACUGCUUAAAUCUUUGUCAAAAUUUGGGCCAUCUCUACUGAUCUACUGCGUCUUCGCUAGCCUCCGCAAAUCUUAUCACCAGUCUACACAAGAUGCCACUGCUACAACUAAUUUCUUCUAAUGAUUACAACAAUAAGAACGUCUAGUAGUUUCCCAAUAUGAAUGUAUAGUAGUCCCCAAAGAUUACACUGUAUCGUUGAGCUAGUCACUUACAUAAUCAAACCCCUUCAUUGAUUUUCUUUCCUUCCACAUCAGAUUCAGGCUUCAAACCCUCCUAAACUGCCUAACCCUACUCUCCUUUGUUCAUCUUCAGUGAUUAAGGUGAUGAUCAGAAAAACAAUCUAAAAUGCACUUCCUUACUUAAUAGAUCUUCUCCCUCUGUAUACUGAGCAUAGCUAAAACACACUGCUAAGGAAACACUGUCCACUUAGAUUAGUGCAGCUGUCCAGGCUGAGGUGCAAAACUACCUAUGAAUGCACCAUACUAACAAAGAGCAUGUCACAAUUAAGAAUGAAUAUGUAUUUGUGUAUGUAUGUAACUUAUUAGGCCAGGUCUACACUAAAAAGUUAGGUCAACCCAGCCACAUCAUGCAGGGAUAUGAGAAAUCCACAUCCUGAGAGACGUACGUAAACCAAUCAAACCCGCGGCAAAGACAGCUCCAGGUUUAUGGAAGAAUUCUUUCAUUGACCUAGCUUGGGGAGGCAGAUUAACUACAGUAACAGUAGAACCCCUCCCAUCACAGUAGUGCAUGUCUACACUGAAGCACUACUAUAGCGGUUUAAGUGUAGACAGCCUUAGCUACAGCCCUUCAGGAUGAUCCGUAAGAGCUAAAGGUGUUGCUCACAUGCAAGCAGCGUUUGAUCCAGAGAAUCCAUUUAAAAUAUAAAGAAAUGCAAAACACCACACACUUACUUUGGCAUGACAAACACCUGUAUUAUAAAUAUACAGAGCAACACAAUACUGGCACAGCCAAAGUAACUCCUCAGUCCGGGGAUGGGGAUGGUGCGAUACUGAAACAAAGAUUGUAAUAAUUUAAUAAGAAUAAUUCUAGAGUUUGUUUUUGUAAUCUGCUACUUGUAUUUUUUUAAAUUCUACCACAAAGUAUCUUUGCACCGCACUAUUAAGCCAAGAAUGUGAAGAGAAACCAACCAACCAGAUAAAAUGUACAGUUAGGCAUCAUUGAAGAAAAAGUCCCCAGUCCAACAGAAUCAAUUUCUAACCAGCUGGGGACACCUAAUGAGGUGCAGUAACUGCACAACGGAUCAUUACACAACAUGUAAGUCAGCUUCCAAACUAAUACUUACUAUACGAGUUGAUUAUAUGACUAUUUAUAUUAUCAUAGUGAUUGGGGGCCCCAUCCUGUGUGAGUAGAUUAAUACACACACAGUGAAAUCUGUUUUAAACUACCACACGAGAUAUCAGAAGAACAACUUUUAGGAGAAGUUCAUUUAACUGAACGCUACUCAAAACUGAACUGAAACCUUGAGGACACUGACAGCAGCCUCAAACCGAGAAGGCUCUUGAUGCAAGUUUUACUAUAUAUACAUAUUCCUCAUGAAUGUGUCCAUAUGCGUGAAUCACUCUGGGUUUAACCAGGGCUCUCCUCAGACUGCAGUGGUUCAGUGAAGGCUCUUAUUUUUGGGGGGUACAGGGAUGGGUUGCGAGUCCUCCUGAGUUUGGGAAAGGGCGAGGACUAGAAUGGUAAAAUAUCGUAUACAUAAGGGCAUUUGAAAUUCAAUCCUGCCUCCAUUUAAGCUAUGACUCAGGAUGUUUUAAGUAUCAAGGAUAAUGUUACCAUUCAUAUAGAGUAUUUACGGUACCUACCAAAUAUCAUACUGAUGUAUAAAGAAAUUAUCAUGGAAAGCAGAAUCCUAUUUGCUACAAUGUAUGUAAAGACACUUUUUAAAUACCUCAUUGCUUUUUUAUAAUAAAAGAUGUUCAGACUAAUGCUGGACCCACUGCCAAAACGUCCAUUGACUUUAAAGGGCCAAGGUUUAACCCUAGAUUAUUUACUGAUUCCUUUAGUCCAUAUUAACAACAUUACCAAGAAGGAGGGAAUAAGCCAAGUGAACCAAGAGAUCUGCAUUACAUCAUGUCAUCUAAGAUGCAUUUGGGGCUGCAGUCACCUCAGGAAUCCCAAUAUAGGAACGAACAUAAUUUCAGUUUCAAUUGUCCUUUCAUGUUUCUAUGAAGAUUCUACAAAAAACAGUGAGAAUCCACAGAAGUCAUCUGAGUUAUUAUACCAUGGUCUGCAUUAAAAUAGAAAUAGGUUAUACAAAAUGUAUGCAAUAAACUAACAUAACAGAAUGCAAAAAUCGUAUGUUUCAGGUUGGAUUCCAUUGUUCACAUAGUUAAUGACUUGUUUAUCAUGGUAUAAUGUUUUUCUGAACAGCUGACAAAGCACUUUAAGAGGCUUUACAUUUCAACUAUCAGUGGUUUUGCACUAGUGGUUUUGCACCAGUUUAGUUAUCUCAUGGUUGCAUCUCAUGGUUUUGCACCAGUUUAGUUAUCCCUUUGGUAGUACAGUCAUCAGUAGAAAAGGAAUCCAGUCUGAAACCUUCUUGGCUGGGUACCCUGUCAUAAAUACGACAGGGUAAAGAGAGAUAUUAGAGAUGGAUUAGAGAUACUAGGUCACCCAUGCCUUCACCCUGCAAAUACCUGCCAUUUAUUGGGGAUGGUUUGAGUACAAGUAUAUCAGUCUUCCCAUAACCCAGUAGAAGGGAUGGAUGGCUCCCUCCCAAUUGAAAUGAUUCUAUGUUUGUAUAGAUCAUAGGAAUUUCUAUGCUAGAAUUCAUUUUAAAAUAUAUAAAAUACAGCCCUCAUAUGCUUUUUACAGAUAUAUUGUGCCAACUGCUGUGCCUGCUAUUAGCACUGAUACUCCAUGUACCCUCAGUGAACCAGCCAUGGGAGUCAUAUCUGCAGUGCUCCCAGCAGUUACCCAUGUGCUCCUGACCUCUGCCCACAUGUGUGCCCCAGCUGCCUCACCCUCUGACCUUCCCACAUUUCCUGUGACCUGUA